UAUACGGAGAGUUUGAUUCUGGCUCAGAACGAACGCUGGCGGCGUGGAUAAGACAUGCAAGUCGAACGCUGGUUUAAAUGUAGCAAUACAGGUAAACCGGAGUGGCGCAAGGGUGCGUAACACGUGGGUAAUUUGCCUUUGAGACAGGAAUAACCCGCUGAAAAGCGGACUAAUACCUGAUGAGGAUGUAUUGGGGGGACCUGAUAUAUUUAAAGCUGGGGACCGCAAGGCCUGGCGCUGAAAGAUAAGCCCGCGACCUAUCAGCUAGUUGGAGAGGUAAGAGCUCCCCAAGGCGGAGACGGGUAGCUGGUCUGAGAGGACGACCAGCCACACUGGAACUGAGACACGGUCCAGACACCUACGGGUGGCAGCAGUCGAGAAUUUUUCUCAAUGGGGGAAACCCUGAAGGAGCGACGCCGCGUGGGGGAUGAAGGGCUUCGGCUCGUAAACCCCUGUCAAGUGUGAGCAAAUGUUAGUGUUUAAGAGAUGCUGACAUGAUAGUAGCAAAAGAGGAAGGGACGGCUAACUCUGUGCCAGCAGCCGC
This 544-nucleotide ribosomal RNA is filed under the name Verrucomicrobiota bacterium. RNAcentral's name for it is "bacterial SSU rRNA". It matches the Rfam family "Bacterial small subunit ribosomal RNA", at positions 1 to 518 of the family's 1533-position model. The record is from RNAcentral. Lineage: Bacteria; Pseudomonadati; Verrucomicrobiota.